CGCAAUGGACGAAAGUCUGACGGAGCAACGCCGCGUGAACGAUGAAGGCUUUCGGGUCGUAAAGUUCUGUUGUCAGGGAAGAACAAGUACCGGAGUAACUGCCGGUACCUUGACGGUACCUGACCAGAAAGCCACGGCUAACUACGUGCCAGCAGCCGCGGUAAUACGUAGGUGGCAAGCGUUGUCCGGAAUUAUUGGGCGUAAAGCGCGCGCAGGCGGUUCCUUAAGUCUGAUGUGAAAGCCCCCGGCUCAACCGGGGAGGGUCAUUGGAAACUGGGGAACUUGAGUGCAGAAGAGGAGAGCGGAAUUCCACGUGUAGCGGUGAAAUGCGUAGAGAUGUGGAGGAACACCAGUGGCGAAGGCGGCUCUCUGGUCUGUAACUGACGCUGAGGCGCGAAAGCGUGGGGAGCAAACAGGAUUAGAUACCCUGGUAGUCCACGCCGU
RNAcentral lists this ribosomal RNA (444 nucleotides) under uncultured Bacillota bacterium. RNAcentral's name for it is "bacterial SSU rRNA". It matches the Rfam family "Bacterial small subunit ribosomal RNA", at positions 367 to 803 of the family's 1533-position model. Lineage: Bacteria; Bacillati; Bacillota. The record is from RNAcentral.